GAUGAACGCUGGCGGCGUGCCUAAUACAUGCGAGUCGAGCGAACAGACGAGGAGCUUGCUCCACUGACGUUAGCGGCGGACGGGUGAGUAACACGUGGAUAACCUACAUAUAAGACUGGGAUAACUUCGGGAAACCGGAGCUAAUACCGGAUAAUAUAUUUAACCGCAUGGUUCAAUAGUGAAAGACGGUUUUGCUGUCACUUAUAGAUGGAUCCGCGCCGCAUUAGCUAGUUGGUAAGGUAACGGCUUACCAAGGCGACGAUGCGUAGCCGACCUGAGAGGAUGAUCGGCUCCCCUGGAACUGAGCCACGACACAGACCACACCGGGAGGGGGCGGAGGGGAGACUACUACAAGGGGAGGAAGGAGGACGGGAAACAGCCGCGUAGGGGAUAAAGGUAUUCGGAUCGGAAAUGUCUGCUAUUAGGGAAGAACAAAUGUGUAAGUAACGAGGCACGGCUUGACGGUACCUAACGAAAAAGCCACGGCUAACUCCGUG
RNAcentral lists this ribosomal RNA (497 nucleotides) under uncultured bacterium. RNAcentral describes it as "partial 16S ribosomal RNA". It matches the Rfam family "Bacterial small subunit ribosomal RNA", at positions 28 to 507 of the family's 1533-position model. The record is from RNAcentral.